AGGUGAGAAUCCCGUAUGUGACCAGUGACCGAUCCCAUGUGAAACUCCUUCGACGAGUCGAGUUGUUUGGGAAUGCAGCUCAAAAUGGGUGGUAAAUUUCAUCUAAAGCUAAAUACUGGCUGGAGACCGAUAGCGCACAAGUAGAGUGAUCGAAAGAUGAAAAGCACUUUGGAAAGAGAGUCAAACAGUACGUGAAAUUGUUGAAAGGGAAGCGCUUGCAACCAGACCUGUCCGUAGGUGAUCAGCCGCCGUUCUCGGUGGUGCACUCGCCUACGAUCAGGCCAGCAUCGGUUCGGGCGGUCGGAUAAAGGCCUUGGGAAUGUAGCUCCUCUCGAGGAGUCUUAUAGCCCUCGGUGCAAUGCGGCCAACCCGGACCGAGGACCGCGCUUCGGCUAGGAUGCUGGCGUAAUGGUUGUAAGCGACCCGUCUUGAAACACGGACCAAGGAGUCUAACAUCUAUGCGAGUGUUUGGGUGUCAAACCCAUACGCGGAAUGAAAGUGAACGGAGGUGAGAACCCUUUAGGGCGCAUCAUCGACCGAUCCAGAUGUCUUCGGAUGGAUUUGAGUAUGAGCAUAGCUGUUGGGACCCGAAAGAUGGUGAACUAUGCCUGAAUAGGGUGAAGCCAGAGGAAACUCUGGUGGAGGCUCGCAGCGGU
Molecule: ribosomal RNA, 656 nt
Filed under: Protoparmelia aff. badia A GS-2015
Lineage: Eukaryota; Fungi; Ascomycota; Lecanoromycetes; Lecanorales; Parmeliaceae
Description: eukaryotic LSU rRNA
Rfam family: Eukaryotic large subunit ribosomal RNA
Source: RNAcentral